CCUACGGGUGGCUGCAGUGAGGAAUAUUGGUCAAUGGGCGCGAGCCUGAACCAGCCAAGUAGCGUGAAGGAUGACUGCCCUACGGGUUGUAAACUUCUUUUAUAAGGGAAUAAAGUGAGGCACGUGUGCCUUUUUGUAUGUACUUUAUGAAUAAGGAUCGGCUAACUCCGUGCCAGCAGCCGCGGUAAUACGGAGGAUCCGAGCGUUAUCCGGAUUUAUUGGGGUUAAAGGGAGCGUAGAUGGGUUGUUAAGUCAGUUGUGAAAGUUUGCGGCUCAACCGUAAAAUUGCAAUUGAUACUGGCAGCCCUGAGGACAGGUGAGGUAGGGGGAAUUCGGGGUUUAGCGGUUAAAUGCUUAG
RNAcentral lists this ribosomal RNA (358 nucleotides) under uncultured bacterium. RNAcentral describes it as "partial 16S ribosomal RNA". It matches the Rfam family "Bacterial small subunit ribosomal RNA", at positions 338 to 693 of the family's 1533-position model. The record is from RNAcentral.